AGAGUUUGAUCAUGGCUCAGGACGAACGCUGGCGGCGUGCCUAACACAUGCAAGUCGAGCGGGGUAUAUUUUUCGGAAUAUACUUAGCGGCGGACGGGUGAGUAACGCGUGASAAUCUGCCCUAUACAGAGGAAUAGCCUCGGGAAACCGGGAUUAAAACCACAUAACACUUUGAUACCGCAUGGUAAUGAAGUCAAAUUGAUUUAGAGGUAUAGGAUGAGCUCGCGUCUGAUUAGCUAGUUGGUGAGGUAAUGGCUCACCAAGGCGACGAUCAGUAGCCGGCCUGAGAGGGUGAACGGCCACACUGGAACUGAGACACGGUCCAGACUCCUACGGGAGGCAGCAGUGGGGAAUAUUGCACAAUGGAGGAAACUCUGAUGCAGCGACGCCGCGUGAGUGAAGAAGGUCUUCGGAUCGUAAAACUCUGUCCUUGGUGAAGAUAAUGACGGUAGCCAAGGAGGAAGCCCCGGCUAACUACGUGCCAGCAGCCGCGGUAAUACGUAGGGGGCUAGCGUUGUCCGGAUUUACUGGGCGUAAA
Molecule: ribosomal RNA, 538 nt
Filed under: uncultured bacterium
Lineage: Bacteria
Description: bacterial SSU rRNA
Rfam family: Bacterial small subunit ribosomal RNA
Source: RNAcentral